Molecule: small nucleolar RNA, 131 nt
Filed under: Mus pahari (shrew mouse)
Lineage: Eukaryota; Metazoa; Chordata; Mammalia; Rodentia; Muridae
Description: predicted gene, 22778 (MGP_PahariEiJ_G0034075.1)
Rfam family: Small nucleolar RNA SNORA17
About the family: snoRNA ACA 17 belongs to the H/ACA family of snoRNAs and is predicted to guide pseudouridylation of the 28S rRNA at positions U4659 and U4598. It shares the same host gene together with ACA43. NB This family has a high threshold value to exclude a large number of closely related sequences that do not appear to have conserved H and ACA boxes, and may be pseudogenes.
Source: RNAcentral
UGUGCCUCUAGAGGCACUGCAAGUACAGCUGCUGUGCUAUAUGUGUGCCAGUAGGUGGCAGAGAGGAGAGAUGCUAUGUCUAAGCUCAGUGUCUGACCUGGGAAUGGCUGAAUGAUUAGUAGCCUAACAUU